AGAGUUUGAUCCUGGCUCAGAUUGAACGCUGGCGGCAGGCCUAACACAUGCAAGUCGAACGGUAACAGGAAACAGCUUGCUGUUUCGCUGACGAGUGGCGGACGGGUGAGUAAUGUCUGGGAAACUGCCUGAUGGAGGGGGAUAACUACUGGAAACGGUAGCUAAUACCGCAUAACGUCGCAAGACCAAAGAGGGGGACCUUCGGGCCUCUUGCCAUCAGAUGUGCCCAGAUGGGAUUAGCUAGUAGGUGGGGUAACGGCUCACCUAGGCGACGAUCCCUAGCUGGUCUGAGAGGAUGACCAGCCACACUGGAACUGAGACACGGUCCAGACUCCUACGGGAGGCAGCAGUGGGGAAUAUUGCACAAUGGGCGCAAGCCUGAUGCAGCCAUGCCGCGUGUAUGAAGAAGGCCUUCGGGUUGUAAAGUACUUUCAGCGGGGAGGAAGGGAGUAAAGUUAAUACCUUUGCUCAUUGACGUUACCCGCAGAAGAAGCACCGGCUAACUCCGUGCCAGCAGCCGCGGUAAUACGGAGGGUGCAAGCGUUAAUCGGAAUUACUGGGCGUAAAGCGCACGCAGGCGGUUUGUUAAGUCAGAUGUGAAAUCCCCGGGCUCAACCUGGGAACUGCAUCUGAUACUGGCAAGCUUGAGUCUCGUAGAGGGGGGUAGAAUUCCAGGUGUAGCGGUGAAAUGCGUAGAGAUCUGGAGGAAUACCGGUGGCGAAGGCGGCCCCCUGGACGAAGACUGACGCUCAGGUGCGAAAGCGUGGGGAGCAAACAGGAUUAGAUACCCUGGUAGUCCACGCCGUAAACGAUGUCGACUUGGAGGUUGUGCCCUUGAGGCGUGGCUUCCGGAGCUAACGCGUUAAGUCGACCGCCUGGGGAGUACGGCCGCAAGGUUAAAACUCAAAUGAAUUGACGGGGGCCCGCACAAGCGGUGGAGCAUGUGGUUCAAUUCGAUGCAACGCGAAGAACCUUACCUGGUCUUGACAUCCACGGAAGUUUUCAGAGAUGAGAAUGUGCCUUCGGGAGCCGUGAGACAGGUGCUGCAUGGCUGUCGUCAGCUCGUGUUGUGAAAUGUUGGGUUAAGUCCCGCAACGAGCGCAACCC
RNAcentral lists this ribosomal RNA (1107 nucleotides) under uncultured bacterium. RNAcentral describes it as "bacterial SSU rRNA". It matches the Rfam family "Bacterial small subunit ribosomal RNA", at positions 8 to 1104 of the family's 1533-position model. The record is from RNAcentral.